This 575-nucleotide ribosomal RNA is filed under the name Salmonella enterica subsp. enterica serovar Typhimurium var. 5-. RNAcentral's name for it is "bacterial LSU rRNA". It matches the Rfam family "Bacterial large subunit ribosomal RNA", at positions 635 to 1211 of the family's 2925-position model. The record is from RNAcentral. Lineage: Bacteria; Pseudomonadati; Pseudomonadota; Gammaproteobacteria; Enterobacterales; Enterobacteriaceae.
CUGUAGCAAGGUUAACCGUAUAGGGGAGCCGGAGGGAAACCGAGUCUUAACCGGGCGUUAAGUUGCAGGGUAUAGACCCGAAACCCGGUGAUCUAGCCAUGGGCAGGUUGAAGGUUGGGUAACACUAACUGGAGGACCGAACCGACUAAUGUUGAAAAAUUAGCGGAUGACCUGUGGCUGGGGGUGAAAGGCCAAUCAAACCGGGAGAUAGCUGGUUCUCCCCGAAAGCUAUUUAGGUAGCGCCUCGUGAAUUCAUCUCCGGGGGUAGAGCACUGUUUCGGCUAGGGGGCCAUCCCGGCUUACCAACCCGAUGCAAACUGCGAAUACCGGAGAAUGUUAUCACGGGAGACACACGGCGGGUGCUAACGUCCGUCGUGAAGAGGGAAACAACCCAGACCGCCAGCUAAGGUCCCAAAGUCAUGGUUAAGUGGGAAACGAUGUGGGAAGGCCCAGACAGCCAGGAUGUUGGCUUAGAAGCAGCCAUCAUUUAAAGAAAGCGUAAUAGCUCACUGGUCGAGUCGGCCUGCGCGGAAGAUGUAACGGGGCUAAACCAUGCACCGAAGCUGCGGCAGCGA